GGCUCCGUAGCUCAGUUGGCAGAGCACCUGACUUUUAAUCAGAGCGUCGCAGGUUCGAGUCCUGCCGGAGUCACCA
Molecule: transfer RNA, 76 nt
Filed under: Anaerolineae bacterium
Lineage: Bacteria; Bacillati; Chloroflexota; Anaerolineae
Description: tRNA-Lys
Rfam family: tRNA
About the family: Transfer RNA (tRNA) molecules are approximately 80 nucleotides in length. Their secondary structure includes four short double-helical elements and three loops (D, anti-codon, and T loops). Further hydrogen bonds mediate the characteristic L-shaped molecular structure. tRNAs have two regions of fundamental functional importance: the anti-codon, which is responsible for specific mRNA codon recognition, and the 3' end, to which the tRNAs corresponding amino acid is attached (by aminoacyl-tRNA synthetases). tRNAs cope with the degeneracy of the genetic code in two manners: having more than one tRNA (with a specific anti-codon) for a particular amino acid; and 'wobble' base-pairing, i.e. permitting non-standard base-pairing at the 3rd anti-codon position.
Source: RNAcentral